Molecule: long non-coding RNA, 608 nt
Organism: Myotis myotis
Lineage: Eukaryota; Metazoa; Chordata; Mammalia; Chiroptera; Vespertilionidae
Exons: 3
Source: RefSeq, a predicted model, not a curated record
GCCUGCAGCUCCCACAGGGGCCUGGUCAGGUUCCUCUCCAAGGACCUGGCGGCUUCCAUGACGUCCUGAGUUUUGCCCCCUCAUCUUGGGGAGGCUUCAGCACGUCCUGGAGAGAAUGUGGCCACCGCGCUGGUUUUGCAACUUUAAGAGCUGCUUAGCGCCCAAGCGUUUCUUCUCCACCAACUCAGGCAAGAAGUGGCCCGCGCCCUGGAGAGCUACAUCGUCGUGGUCGAAAUAGAAGCCGAGAGAGAGGCACCCAAAGAACUGCGGGGUCACCCUUGGCUCAGCCCCACCUCUGCUGGAAGGGUCCACCGGCUUCAGCAUCUCUCUGCUCGGGCGUCUGAGGCAGGACCCAGCCCUGCCCCACGGCUGUGCACGCAGUAAAUGAGGGCUGACCAGCGCAGAGCCAACAUUCCACCCUCGGGCCACUUGCUCUGGGGGAAGCCAGCUGCCGUGGCAUGAACAUCACUGGGAGGAAACCCAAGGAACGGAGGCCUCCAGUCAACAGCCAUGUGAGUAGCUUGGAAGCAGAACUUCCAGCCCCUGUCGAGCCUUCAGAUGACUGCCACCCUGGCCAGAACUACCCAGAUCCAGACCCUCAGGAACUG